RNAcentral lists this ribosomal RNA (448 nucleotides) under uncultured bacterium. Its description in RNAcentral is "SSU rRNA". It matches the Rfam family "Bacterial small subunit ribosomal RNA", at positions 26 to 518 of the family's 1533-position model. The record is from RNAcentral.
AGAACGAACGCUGGCGGCAUGCCUAACACAUGCAAGUCGAACGAGACCUUUCGGGGUCUAGUGGCGCACGGGUGCGUAACGCGUGGGAAUCUGCCCUUGGGUUCGGAAUAACAGUGGGAAACUGCUGCUAAUACCGGAUGAUAUCGAAAGAUCAAAGAUUUAUCGCCCAGGGAUGAGCCCGCGUAGGAUUAGCUAGUUGGUGGGGUAAUGGCUCACCAAGGCGACGAUCCUUAGCUGGUCUGAGAGGAUGAUCAGCCACACUGGGACUGAGACACGGCCCAGACUCCUACGGGAGGCAGCAGUGGGGAAUAUUGGACAAUGGGCGAAAGCCUGAUCCAGCAAUGCCGCGUGAGUGAUGAAGGCCUUAGGGUUGUAAAGCUCUUUUACCAGGGAUGAUAAUGACAGUACCUGGAGAAUAAGCUCCGGCUAACUCCGUGCCAGCAGCCGC